RNAcentral lists this ribosomal RNA (357 nucleotides) under uncultured eukaryote. RNAcentral describes it as "SSU rRNA". It matches the Rfam family "Eukaryotic small subunit ribosomal RNA", at positions 594 to 945 of the family's 1831-position model. The record is from RNAcentral.
AUAGCGUAUAUUAAAGUUGUUGCAGUUAAAAAGCUCGUAGUUGGAUUUCUGGUGUGGCGCGGCCGGCCCGCCGCCCUCUGGGCGUGUGAGUGUCGGUUCGCGUCUACCAUCCUUCUAGAGAGCGGCUCUGCCAUUCACUUGGUCGGGGUCGCGAUCUGGAUCUUUUACUUUGAAAAAAUUGGAGUGUUCAAAGCAGGCUAGCGCCACUGAAUACAUUAGCAUGGAAUAAUAAAAUAGGACUUUGGUUCUAUUUUGUUGGUUUCUAGGACUGAAGUAAUGAUUGAUAGGGAUAGUUGGGGGUGCUAGUAUUGAACGGCCAGAGGUGAAAUUCUUGGAUUCGUUCAAGACUAACUUAUG